CAACUGGCAAAAAGCUGUAUGUUUGCAAGUCAAUAUUGUGACAGAAGCGUGGAAGGCAAAGAUUGUCGCAGGGGCCGAGGCCGCAGGGAUGGCCCACGGUCCCCACCGGCAGCCUGCGGCACGGGGCAGGGUCAGAUGGAAAGCUGAUGUGACCAACUUAGGGCAACGCAGGGAUCAGGGAUCCAAAAGCUCGCAUCAAAUGCUGCUCCCUCUCAGACCUUUAAAUACAGCACUUAGGGGUACUGGAAGUGAAUUGCAGAAAGCAGCCAGACUUGUGUGCUGCCCCUGCGUGGCAUCUCCUCUUGCCACUACCCAACACAAAAUACUGAACCAGAUGGAACAUAGGUCUGACCUCCUAUGUACUUCAGGAAACAAUCAGAAGGGCCUCCAGACAAAUCCCACCUGGUCUCCAGCCUGAUGCCAGGAGUACUGCAAGCCUUACCGAGAGGUCGAAAAGAAAUAGAGAGCACCAUUAAACCUUAAAACAUACAGAAAAUCGAGCUGGCUGGGGUGUGUUCCAGCUGAGGUGGGAAAAAACAAAUGACGUCAGACCCUACAUGAAUGUUUUGGGAUAAGGAUGGCACAUCGGCGAGCGGAUGGUAGAUGGGUUAUUGAAUUCCUAAGGAAAGGGCUUUUUCACAGUUGUGGGACCAGAAGGACAUUACAGUGCUGCCUACACGACCGCAAUGCCUGCUGAGAGCAGUGCUGGGAAGGAAGAAAGAGGCAACAUUCACCCAAGCCAGCAACACAAACGCUAAAUGUCACUGCACUGAGCUGGGUAUCGAGCUACAAUUGAUCCUGCGCAUGCACUUCCUAGCGUUGAAAAAAGCAUCAGAGACUGAAGAGAACAAUGCCACCUGGAAAUGAACACAGAUUUUAUAAUGGAUUUGAGCGUGAGCUUGAUCAAUUUACCAUAAUCUAUCUCAAACAUCUGCAGCAUAGACAGGCACGAGCCACGGCAGUGUUUUCUUUCCUUGUAAUCUCCUCUGCCAUUGUCCUGCUGCUGAGAAACAAGCAGGAAUGGAAAGAAAAUGACAAAAUGGACACUAACAUCUCACAAACACCACCUGCCUUAUGGGUCUGAGACUGCAAAACCCAGAAGAGUUACCUAAAAGAGCUGGGCUGGAAAUAAAACUGAGAGGAAACAAAAAGGCCAUGAGACACACAAGCGAAUGGCAUUCACAUCUGCAGAGAUAAAACGGUUUUGCUUCCCCCCGGCAAUGCGCUGAGCUAUCUCCUCAGAUAACCAUGUGGAACUGGGAAAACACAUGGAGUUUUUGCUCUCCUAAAACACAUUUGGAAAUAGCAACAAACCUGACUGAGAUGACAUCAGCAUCCUUUUUCCUUUUUCCCUAAGACAAAUAAAUUGAAAAAAGAGAAAUAAAUUCUGAUGUCUUUCGAAAAAGAUGUCUGGAUUAAUUCGUAGAUAUAAGUGAUCUGAACACAAAAGAAACACAAAGAUUCAUAGAAGAAUGUUGAUAGACUCCCUGAGUCUACUCCAGAAAGAAAACAUCAAUGGUUUGACCCUUUCUAUGAAGAACUCCAAGACAAACAUUAUGUACCAAACCUGGUGUGGAAGCCGCAGAGGACAGAGAAGAGAGGAAAGACAAAGAAACUGCGAGGAAAUUGAUAAAUCAUUAGACAAGAACUUGUCUAAUCCACCCGAAAAGGGCUAUGGGAAGCAAAGGACUGUUAACUAGGCUGUAUGUUACCCACAGAGUACCUACGAACACAAAAAUGGGUGAGGCGUGCCGUGCCGCACAGCACUUGCUGCAUCGGCCUCGACAGCAGCACGUGGCUGGAUCUGGCCACGGGGCUGCUGCGAGGGGCACAAAGAAAGGAAAGAAGCGCCGGCACCACGCUGCAGACUCCUCAAGGGCAGGGAUGAUGGGGAACAGUGGAGA
Cygnus olor (mute swan) is the source of this 1904-nucleotide long non-coding RNA. RefSeq lists it as uncharacterized. NCBI's taxonomy places the organism in Eukaryota, Metazoa, Chordata, Aves, Anseriformes, Anatidae. The transcript has 3 exons. The record is from RefSeq and is a predicted model, not a curated record.